Molecule: ribosomal RNA, 150 nt
Filed under: uncultured Bacillus sp.
Lineage: Bacteria; Bacillati; Bacillota; Bacilli; Caryophanales; Bacillaceae
Description: partial 16S ribosomal RNA
Rfam family: Bacterial small subunit ribosomal RNA
Source: RNAcentral
ACGGGAGGCAGCAGUAGGGAAUCUUCCGCAAUGGACGAAAGUCUGACGGAGCAACGCCGCGUGAGUGAUGAAGGCUUUCGGGUCGUAAAACUCUGUUGUUAGGGAAGAACAAGACGAGAGAACGCUCUCCCUGACGGUCCACCCUCGCAC